GUUCUGAAAAACCCUGUGGGUGGUACUAUGUGUGGAAAACCUGCAUAAAAGAAGGCCCUUUGGUGCCAAGUAAAACAGUUCUUCUUCACCCUCAAUCUAGAGUCCUGUCUCUUAUUGGGGGAAUUGCUAUAUCACUACAAGGGAUUGCUAUGCUCUGCAUGCUCCCUUGGAUAAUCACUUCUAAGCUCUUUUAAGAGCUUGUUCCUGUCUUGCUAUCGGAAGGAGUCUACGGUGGUUAUGG
Molecule: non-coding RNA, 241 nt
Organism: Pelobates cultripes (western spadefoot toad)
Lineage: Eukaryota; Metazoa; Chordata; Amphibia; Anura; Pelobatidae
Source: the annotation of a GenBank genome assembly